CUUCUAGCGCCUGGCCCGCUAGUCCAGGGUUUAGAGGCUAUCGCUAAGGUACAGGAACGCUAAGGUCGGGUUUAGAGGCUAACGCUGUAAGGUACAGGAACACUAAGGUAGGGUUUAGAGGCUAACGCUGUAAGGUACAGGAACGCUAAGGUACAGGAACACUAAGGUAGGGUUUAGAGGCUAACGCUGUAAGGUACGGGAACGCUAAGGUACAGGAACGCUAAGGUAGGGUUUAGAGGCUAACGCUGUAAGGUACAGGAACGCUAAGGUACAGGAACACUGAGGUACAGGAACACUAAGGUACAGGAA
Gadus chalcogrammus (walleye pollock) is the source of this 309-nucleotide long non-coding RNA. RefSeq lists it as uncharacterized. The record is from RefSeq and is a predicted model, not a curated record. Lineage: Eukaryota; Metazoa; Chordata; Actinopteri; Gadiformes; Gadidae. The transcript has 2 exons.